AUUGAACGCUGGCGGCAGGCCUAACACAUGCAAGUCGAACGGUAACAGGAAACAGCUUGCUGUUUCGCUGACGAGUGGCGGACGGGUGAGUAAUGUCUGGGAAACUGCCUGAUGGAGGGGGAUAACUACUGGAAACGGUAGCUAAUACCGCAUAACGUCGCAAGACCAAAGAGGGGGACCUUCCGGCCUCUUGCCAUCGGAUGUGCCCAGAUGGGAUUAGCUAGUAGGUGGGGUAACGGCUCACCUAGGCGACGAUCCGUAGCUGGUCUGAGAGGAUGACCAGCCACACUGGAACUGAGACACGGUCCAGACUCCUACGGGAGGCAGCAGUGGGGAAUAUUGCACAAUGGGCGCAAGCCUGAUGCAGCCAUGCCGCGUGUAUGAAGAAGGCCUUCGGGUUGUAAAGUACUUUCAGCGGGGAGGAAGGGAGUAAAGUUAAUACCUUUAGGGAUUGACGUUACCCGAAGAAGAAGCACCGGCUAACUCCGUG
RNAcentral lists this ribosomal RNA (490 nucleotides) under uncultured bacterium. RNAcentral describes it as "partial 16S ribosomal RNA". It matches the Rfam family "Bacterial small subunit ribosomal RNA", at positions 30 to 507 of the family's 1533-position model. The record is from RNAcentral.